Molecule: long non-coding RNA, 124 nt
Organism: Dreissena polymorpha
Lineage: Eukaryota; Metazoa; Mollusca; Bivalvia; Myida; Dreissenidae
Exons: 3
Source: RefSeq, a predicted model, not a curated record
CAAGGUUCAUAUUAGCCCCAUCUCCCCAGGACAAGGUUCAUAUUAGCCCCAUUUCCCCAGGACAAGGUUCAUAUGUUAUCACAACAAUUCAAGACACUUCUUACCCUCAGUUUUCUACACAGUC